RNAcentral lists this transfer RNA (74 nucleotides) under Candidatus Altimarinota bacterium. Its description in RNAcentral is "tRNA-Lys". It matches the Rfam family "tRNA". From Rfam's summary of the family: Transfer RNA (tRNA) molecules are approximately 80 nucleotides in length. The record is from RNAcentral. Lineage: Bacteria; Candidatus Altimarinota.
GGGUGAGUAGCUCAAUUGGCUAGAGCAGGUCCCUCUUAAGGACAAGGUUCGGGGUUCGAUUCCCCGCUUGCCCA